RNAcentral lists this long non-coding RNA (18451 nucleotides) under Citrus x clementina. RNAcentral describes it as "Citrus clementina (C. clementina) long non-coding RNA (CCLE_LNC002969)". Lineage: Eukaryota; Viridiplantae; Streptophyta; Magnoliopsida; Sapindales; Rutaceae. The record is from RNAcentral.
GUCUAUGUGCUGGGGUUUGUAUAUGUUCCUGUGGGCCUAAUGGACAUCUGUUUUUGCAGUCUCUUUCGCAUAUCAUGGAUGCAUCAAUGGAAGACCUGGCUCGUUGCCCUGGCAUCGGAGAGCGCAAGGUAUUCUGUUCGUCUCCAAAGAGAGACGUGUCAUUUGAUGGAAUUUUGUCCUUGUAUUGUGUGAUACACUUCUGUAUGCUAUCAACUGACUGAUUGUGAAUAAAUUUAUGGCAAUUUUUAGUGUCUUUAUUUAAAGGGUUCUAUGUUUUGCAUAUUAUUAAACCUACCUACUUUUUCAUUUUGUUCCCCGAUCAGGUUAAACGCUUGUAUGACACUUUUCACGAGCCAUUUAAGCGUGUAGUUUCCAGUCACCCUCCUAUUCCGGAAACUCCUUCCCAGAAGGAUGUUGAACGUUCCUCUGUGAAUGAAGUAACAGAAGUGGAGAAAGACACAGAAGACGUAAACAAACGUAGGAAGAAAGAAACUGAAUCAACUGUGAAGUCAGCCCUAUCUGCUGCAUUUGCCAAGUAUGCUGAUAAAAUUGGUAAGAAGAAAAACCGUUCAUCUCAGGUAGGGGAAACAAGUGUUUCCAAUUCAGGCACUGAAAAUAGCAAUUCCGGUCAACCGGACAGCUAAGUGAUCGUUUUUUUUUUCCUCCAAAAAUUCACAAUAACCUUAAAAGCAAGUAACUAAAAGGAGAAUUGCUGAGAAUGUAUAAUGCAUACUUGUGAAAGAAGCAUGGCAGCAGAACUAACACAUUCAUUAACAAUGCAUAUCUACUGGCUUCUCCAUCCUCCCUAUUUAGAUGAUGUUGAUGGAGGCAGGCAGGAAAUUCUUUAGCAAAUUCUGUGCACCUAGUAAAAUUUUGUACUUUGUAGGGUUGAGAAAAGCUGCACGGCCGUAAGUGCAAAACCUUAAUUUAUAUGUAUGUAUAAAUUUUUAUAGUUUUAGCUGUUACAAUAUCACUGGAUUCUCUGAAGCUGCAAAGUUUAACCCAUUGUUUGGAUUAUGGUGAAGAUUUGUGUGAAUUAGAAUUUGCCACAUCAUAGUAAUCAAUCACAAGUUUCCCAUCUUUCCAGAAAGCUUCACAUAAUUGCAUUUUGAUUCUGUUCUUAUCCUGAAUAUGAAUGAAAGUGAUGGGCUAGCUACAGCAUUGAAAUUUGCUGGAAUCGCGACAACUUACUGCUAUUGCCAUAUAAUCUUUCUAGUACAACAGACGUUUGUAAUUUUCUAUUCUUUUCUUCUUUUUCCUCUUUUUCUUUUAACAUUUUCUUUUUCCUUUUCACAUUUUGGACUUGCAUGUUUCUUUUACUUUCUCCAGCAUUUUCCAGUGUCAUUUUCUUUUCCUGGUGUAUAUACUGUCUGCAUGUGGAAAAAGAAAAAGUUAUUUUCACUGCAAAUUUCACGAAAAAAGGAACAUACAAGUGCUUGUUAACAUAACAUAUGACAAGAUUCUUUUCUGAGGAUUCGUUCUGUCAAAGUUUGAGCCAAUAAGAUAGUGAUGAUCCAAUAGGACUGAUGGUUGCCUCUUUGUUUUCUUUUUCAUAUGCAGAUCGUGAACAAUAUUUGAUUCUGAAUUUUGCGUCGCAAGUAGACAAGCUAGAAAGUUACUUUUGCAUAAUUAACCCCAUCGUUGGUACAAAAAAUAUCCAAAUAACAAAUCCAUCCAUAUAUAAAUAGAACCUAUGCGAAGUGUAUCAUGAUUUAUAAAUGAAUAUGUAUGGCGAGCUAUAUCACUGAAUUUGUAGUGAUAGAUACUAAUAGAUAUUAAUCAUAUGCUCCUCUCAAUGCUCUAACGCCCACACCGGAUAUGGACCGAACUGUCUCACGACGUACCGCUUUAAUGGGCGAACAGCCCAACCCUUGGAACAUACUACAGCCCCAGGUUCAUAUGCACUGAUGGAAUUCUGUAUUAGGUUUUUCAGUAAUAUUAACGGUUCAUUUAGGAUUUAGGAUUGAGACGUGGCUUUUGAGCCAUAGUUGCCAUGAAAUAGAAUGAAAAGAUGACGACAAAGUGAUUGUGAUUUUUUACGCAAACAUAAAACAUCAAAACAAAAAAUAUUUCCCAAACAUAUUUUAACUGUUUAAUAGUUUGUGGGUAAUUAUUUACUUUGUUUUGCUAUCUAACAACUGAAUUUGACUCAUAUUUAUGUAAAUUUUAUAGCCUCACCAUUCGCCAUUUUUAUGUUAUGAUCCUUGUAGGUUUGUUAUUUUUAAAUCAUGACCCAUGUGAAACUAAAAUUUUAAUUUCGCCAUCGGUUAUAAGAUUUGGUAAUGAUAAUUAAAUAAUUCAAUAAACUCUGAGAAAACACAAAGAUUUAAGUGGUUUGACAUAUUAAUUAAUAUGUCUACAUUCACAAUGGUGAUACUGAUCAUCCAGUAUGUGAUAAAAAGGUGUACAAAGUUAACAAUAGCCUCUCAAAUGCAAAUAAAACAAAAAGAAACCGAUCUCAACCCUCAAAAUCAAUCAACCCCCAGCAGUUGAGCCUCACAAUAGCUCUCUUAGACUUGUGCUUUCCCUUGUUCAUAUUCUCUUUAGAAAUACAAGACUCACCAACUUAAAAAAAGAGACAGAGAGAGAGAGAGAAUCCAAUACCUAAUUACAAGUUACUGAAAAAAUAUAUAUAAAACAGAGUAAAAAAGCACGCGCCCGUCCUCCAAUUCCUGCUCUGUUACGCCAUUUACGUAAUUCCUUUUUUGGCUGAAAAUAUUGUUUUCCCCAACAAAAUAAAUUAAUCAGUUAGACAAAUAUAUCUAAUUAUAAUGGUUUGGUGACGUAAUUAUACAUAUAAAUAUAAACAAUUGGACAGGCAUCAGCAAAUUAAUGAAGAAGAGUAGAGACCAAAUGAGAAGGAAAGCAUAUGCAAUUACUAACCAGAGUUAAUUUGAUUCCUUUCCCUGUUGGCUCUGUUCACUGUUGGACUAGACGUUUCAUCUCAUGCACUCCCACGUCUGUCUGUUUUCGAUCCGCUCUUAAUUAAUAUUUUGUUAAUUAAUUGGCUGAAAAUGAAAAGUUUCUUUAAUAUUUCAUUAAGCAGAGAGCAAAGGAAUUGACGACACACUUAUAAUAAUUAAUUUCUAAAUUGGAUUAAAAAAAAUAACAACUAAUUAAUUUUUUUAAGUAACAUAGGAGAUCUAGAAAGAAAGAAGUUACCCGUGGCCGGGGGUGAUUGUAAUUGACUAAUUGCAGCCGCGCGCUUUCAGCCAAUGGAGAUUUCGGGAAUGUGGCGGAUCUUAGGCCAGUCCUCUCCUGUCUCCUUUCUGCAACGUUCUUUUAAAACAGGACAUUCCCCCCAAAUCUCCAAUCUCUGGAGCGUUGACUUCUGAAGAAGGUGAUCGGGCAGUGCUUUUAAUUUACGGCAAUUCGUAAUAGUCAAGGAAGAAAGACGUGGCAUGAUUAUGAUUUCUCCCUUUAUUGCAGUCACGAAAUCCCACUCUUCCAGUUCGCUCAUACCCCAAAAUCUGAGCAGUUUCAAUUUGGGAAAGGCAAUAACUGAGGAGCCAUCCGUAUCACUUUCUACUCCCAUAAAUUCAUUACCCACUCUUUUCACACUUUGCAUUCCAAAAAUAAGAAGAGAUUCAAGGGAUGGCAAUCUUCCUAAAGGAGGCAAAUGCUCGCGAUUUCUCCACUCGCGGAUAUCUAAAUCCCUUAAGUUGGUUAAUGACAUGAACCAAUUUAUGGGGACAACAUUCCUCCUCCCUCUGUAUCCAUUUAUCCGUAAUUUCUUUAAAUUAGGAGGUGGUCCCAAGGCUUCAAGAAGCCGUUCAUCUUCAUCCUCCUCAUUCUCCCUCCUCCCAGCUUGAUCAAAAUGAAGUCCCAACUCAACGAGAUAUUUCUUUUUCUCAAGUUCAGCCCUUCUAGCCUCCCCCGCAUCUGACACACCACCCAGCCCACGUAUACUACAUUGUCGACGGAGGUUAAGCGUUUUAAGAGACCCAAGGCUACAUGCUCUGUCAUACCCUCCGCCCACAACAAACUCUCUCACUUCCCGAAGCCUGAUUAAUUCCCCAAUCCCUACCGGCAAGUAUCUUAAAGAUGCAGUCCGCGCAUUGUGUAAAUACAUCAGCUUUCUUAACCUCCCAAUCCCUCGAGGUAAUUCUCUAAGAUUUCGACAAUCAUUAACAUCUAAACGUUCUAAAUUAUACAACUCACACAACGUCUCGGGUAAUUUUUCUAUCUUCUUUUGACCUUUCAAAUUAAGGUAUUUCAAAUGUAUCAAUUUUCCUAUAUUUGUUGGAAUUUCCUUGAUGAAAUGAAAACCCCACCAGCCAUCCGUCUGUAAUGUUAAUGCCCUUAAACAAGUUAGUUUAUCAAAUAAUUGAGGUAGGACUUUGCUAGACCGUGAAUAUUCAUCACCUUCAACCAAGAGGCUACGCAAUUGUCUCAUUCUCUUAACAUUAUUCCAAAUGGCUAUCGGGACUGAAGUCCCCUUGUCUAUAGUUAACCUUAAAUGAAGAACUUUUUUCUGGUCAAAGGAACUCAUAAUUGACUCUUCACCACCAGGAAUUUUCACUGUUAAACAUGCAUUCCUGCAUAUAAAUUGGGUAAGGUCGUGCACUAAAUCGUGCAUUUUGCACUUAUAGACUUUACCAUCACCAUCUGUUUUGAACUCUUGAAAAAAUGAACUACUAGCUAAAAUGUUGAAAUACUCUUCACCUAUGUCCUCCAUCUCUUUGUUUCCUUUCUCAUUAAGGUAACCUUGAGCCAUCCAUAGGUUAAUUAACUCAUGCUUCCAUAUUUCGAAAUCUGUCGGAAAAACAGCACAAUAUGAGAAACAAUGUUUUACCUUAGAGGGCAAUUCAUUGUAACUCAACAACAGAGGGGCCAAUAGACCUCUCUCAAUCCCUUCGUGUUCCCAUAUCUCACUCUUUAAAAUAUUCUGCCAUUCUUCUUCAGUGUUUUUAGACCAUAAAAGACUACCAAUGGUCUUUACAGCUAAAGGUAAGCCCUUGCAUUUUCCUACAAUUUCUCGACCAAUUUUUUCUAAAUUCUCACAUCCCUCCAUGGACUUGCCGAAAAAUGCUAAUGACUCAAAUAUUGACCAGCAUUCCUUUUCAGACAAAAGAUCAAUUGGGAUAAUGUCAGUUGAUUUCAUAAUAUGGGCAGUUGUUUCAUCACGUGUAGUAAUUAAAAUUUUACUUCCGUGGAGACCAUUCUUUAAACAAUUGUAGAAUGGUCCCCAUUUAGAGUAAUCUUUAUUCCACACUCGUCUAAGACAAGAAGAAAUUUCUUGCCUUCAACACAUCCUUGAACAUGUUGCAUGAGAGAUUGAAACUCACAAAAGUUAGGGGCAGAACCUGUUAGAGCCUCAAUGAUUGCUCUGGCGAUUCUGAACACAUCAAACGGGUCUGACACACAGACCCAUAUUAUUUUCUCAAAAUGAUUUUUAACAUCAUCGUUGUUGUAGGCUAAUUGAGCAAGAGUAGUUUUGCCUAUGCCCCCCAUCCCAACAAGUGAGAUGACACAGGGGCCUUUCUGCUCUUCACUACUCUCACAUAACAGCCUAUUAACCAGAUCGUUCUUCUGUGUUUCUCUACCAAAUAUCUCGGACUCAUCAAUUGAGGAGAUACUUGGUACUCGUUGAUCCGCUCUCUCAUUACUCUUAAUAACAUUCACAGCAAAACCAAACAUGUCUUUUUGUUUGGCAAUAUCAUCAAGAGUUUCAUUGAUGUCUUUCAUCUUGAGAGCAAUGCGACGACGUAAAAAAAUUGGUUUGCAGCCAACGCAAGAGGCAGCAGGAAAGAAGGAACAUACCUUCUUCUUAGGAACGAGAGCAUCAUUCUCAUGAUCAUCCACUCCAUCGAUCCGCAGUUUGAGCCUUGCAGUGUUCCACUCACCCAACACAUCUUCCAUGUCGUAACAUGCGUCUCUGAGUUGAUCGAGCCAGAGUCUGACUGUUUCCUCCUUUAUUUGCCUUUUUUCAGCAUCAUUGAGCACAGUUUGAAUGGUUCGGAGUUUGCGGGUCAGCUUCUCCGCUUCCUUUCCGACGCCCGUUACCAGCCUCACUUGUUCCUUUGCCUCAUGGACUGCCAUUGAAGUCAGCUGCUCCAAGAUAGGGGAAAGGAUCGCAUCAACCAUGGUGAAAAAGAAAAAAGAGAGAGAGAAGAAAUUGAUGGUGAAUUGUAGCAAAAGUAAUUAAUGCUGAAAGAAAUGAAGGAGAUGAUAAUGUGGUGAAAAUGUUGCCGUAUUCUUUCAAUUCUUAUAGUGCUGCAAUCAAAAUGGCCAGUGUGGACACGAAAUAUUGUUAGGUCCUACAUCCGCGAUUCACGCGGUAUAUCAACAAGUUGAAGAAAGAGAAAAAAGUUAAAAAGAAUACCUUGACUAUCUUCUUCUUCUUUUUUUUUUUUUUUUUUUUUAAGUUUUUCCUUUUUUAAAUAUGACUCGUUAGUUUGCAUAAUUAAUUCAAAGGAAAGAAUGAAUGUUCGAUUAAACUAUGAACAAGUUUUGCACAGAAUAAUAGUAUAACUCUAACUAUGACCGUGAAGUGUAAAAAAUCAAAUAAUCUUUUUUUUUUUUUUUUGAAGUCUGUUAUGCACAGAUAUUACUGACAUUACAUCAGGCAUUACAAUUAAUAUUUAUAAUUAUACUAUAUAACUGGGACCACCAUCAUACAUUGACACACUGAAGUAUAUGCCCAGAUAUUUUAAACCCUCUCUAAUAUUCGAGGGGUGCCUGCUCCACUCACAUUUCGUAAGGGAGAGACUGUCUCCACUCAAUUAAUUGAUAAUUGAGGAAGAACUGAAACUAACCUCCAUAAUGCUCUUAUGGAGGCUCGAACCCUUGCACUCAACAUUGUAAGUGCAAGGCUUCUCCCAUUGGACCAAAGGCCCAUUGGUUAAAAAAUCAAAUAAUCUUUACUGUUAGUUUUGCAACAACAAUAAAUAACAAAUCGUCAUUAAUUAUUUCUUAUUAUGUAUAAAUUGUCAAUCUAGAGCUGGAUAUUCACAUAUUCUUCUAUUUCUAAUCAUUUUGAAAUUUAACAUAAAUUUUUUAUUUAUUUUAUUUACGGCAUUUAAACAUGUUAUAAGUAAUGGAAUUUUUUCGCCCUAAGGGUAGCCUCUUCCAUAAAUGAUAUGAGAAUGACGGAUUGAUCGUCGUUACAAAACUACCUUACAAUUACAAUAUAUGAACGCUAUCAAAGUCAAAGUCAUGAUAAUUUAGGGACCCAGACAUUUACUUUUCUAAUUAUUCUGUGAUUCUCAUUUCUCAAUUUCAUUAUCACGAUAAUAACUUACAGAUGCUGCAAUAUUGCACGAAGAUUCCUGGAAGUUGCAUGCAGUUCAAAUAAUUUUCAUUUGGACAAAAACCGUCAAGAAUUUUCAAACCCAAAAGAUGAUUAUAAUUUUUUUUUUCCCUAUAACCCACCCAUCAAAAACUUUUUUCAUUUAUUGUGACUUUGCAAUUUCCUUAGAAGAUACUUGGAACUGCCAAUAUCUUCUAAUUAUUGUUUUAAAAAUAAUCUCAGUUGCAUGCCCAAUUAACAAAUCAGUAGUCUCAGUUCGACAUAUUAACAGUCUUAUCAAGUAAUUGUUUUGGACACGAAUUCACAAAUAAUUAAUUAAAGAAAUAUAUUUAGGAAUCAAGCGUGUGGUUGAAAGGGAAAUACAAUAUUGCAGAAUAAUUUAAUAUUUUUUAUCUUAAUAUAAAUAACAAAAUAAUUUUUUUAAAGAAAUAAUGACUACAUGCCCAAGCCCAACCAAUGCAAUAUAGUUUUAAAAAUCUAUAUUUAAAGAAAAAAAAAUAUUGUUUUAAAAAUCUUAAUGACUACAUGCCCAAGCCCAACCAAUCAGUUUGACAUGCUAUAUUUAAAAAGAAAAAAGAAAAAAAAAAGGAUCGACCAACGCAGUAAUUUUGGUAUAAUGACUUUGACGUAAUUAAACAUUAUUAGAAAAUUAAUAAAGAGUAGAGAGCAACGAGAAAGCGUAUUUAAACUAACCGAUUUGAUUAUUAAAUCUCUAGUCUCUAGCACCGUUCCAUUAAUCCUCCGAUCGAUCGCACGGUCCUGUCUUUUUAUGUUUCCUUCUAUGCAUAAUCGAUUCAUUUACUAUAUGAAAUUAAUCAAUUUGAAUAUAUAUUUAUUAAUCUUGAAUAUUUAGUAAUUUUGUUUGCUUUCCAGAGUAUGAUAUCUUUAACGCGUGGCUUUGGACAUAUAUAGCUAUUAUAAACUUGAUCAGUUUAAUAAAUAUAAUGCAAUCUAUGAUAUGAUAUAAAUAUUUAAUUAUUCUCUUGGAGAUAAGUCAAUUAACUAAAAUUUAAAAAAAGUAUGUAAAGAUAAUAUUUUAUUAUGUAAUAAUAUUAGGAUCAUAAAGUGCGUUUCGGUACUGUUUUUGUUUUGUUAUUUUGUUUUUUAAGAAUGAAGCAAUCUAAAAUUUGUUUGGUUCACUUGUUUUUAACUAGUAUUUAAUUCUAAUAUAGAAUGAUUUGUUUUAAUUUUUCAACAAAGAAAAAUGAAAAAUAGGAAAAUGGUGUUUUUUAAUUUUUAUUCUUCAAAUAGGUCCCACAACCAUAAUCCUACUAGCACAAUUAGAAAAUUAAAAACCUUUCACUUAUUAUAUGAGUCCUUUACCAUCGCAAGAUGUGUNNNNNNNNNNNNNNNNNNNNNNNNNNNNNNNNNNNNNNNNNNNNNNNNNNNNNNNNNNNNNNNNNNNNNNNNNNNNNNNNNNNNNNNNNNNNNNNNNNNNNNNNNNNNNNNNNNNNNNNNNNNNNNNNNNNNNNNNNNNNNNNNNNNNNNNNNNNNNNNNNNNNNNNNNNNNNNNNNNNNNNNNNNNNNNNNNNNNNNNNNNNNNNNNNNNNNNNNNNNNNNNNNNNNNNNNNNNNNNNNNNNNNNNNNNNNNNNNNNNNNNNNNNNNNNNNNNNNNNNNNNNNNNNNNNNNNNNNNNNNNNNNNNNNNNNNNNNNNNNNNNNNNNNNNNNNNNNNNNNNNNNNNNNNNNNNNNNNNNNNNNNNNNNNNNNNNNNNNNNNNNNNNNNNNNNNNNNNNNNNNNNNNNNNNNNNNNNNNNNNNNNNNNNNNNNNNNNNNNNNNNNNNNNNNNNNNNNNNNNNNNNNNNNNNNNNNNNNNNNNNNNNNNNNNNNNNNNNNNNNNNNNNNNNNNNNNNNNNNNNNNNNNNNNNNNNNNNNNNNNNNNNNNNNNNNNNNNNNNNNNNNNNNNNNNNNNNNNNNNNNNNNNNNNNNNNNNNNNNNNNNNNNNNNNNNNNNNNNNNNNNNNNNNNNNNNNNNNNNNNNNNNNNNNNNNNNNNNNNNNNNNNNNNNNNNNNNNNNNNNNNNNNNNNNNNNNNNNNNNNNNNNNNNNNNNNNNNNNNNNNNNNNNNNNNNNNNNNNNNNNNNNNNNNNNNNNNNNNNNNNNNNNNNNNNNNNNNNNNNNNNNNNNNNNNNNNNNNNNNNNNNNNNNNNNNNNNNNNNNNNNNNNNNNNNNNNNNNNNNNNNNNNNNNNNNNNNNNNNNNNNAAAUAAAUAAACAUAUAUAAUGAUUUAAAAAAUUAGUUUGUUAAAACUUUUUCAUUAUAAUUUUUUUUUUACUCUGAAUCAAUGUCUUCACUUUUUACACAAACAAUUAAAUACUUUUUGACUUUUUCAUUUUCAAACACUAUGUUAAAAACAACCCACCAAUGUAUUUUUAUUUUUAAUUUAUAAAAAUAAAAGUAAAAAUAUCAUGUGAAAAACGAUACAAAACACACCCUUAGUACUUGAGUUUUAACCUAAAUCAAAAUAUUAUGUGUCACUCAUUUAUUAAAUGAUAAAUAUAAAUUAUUAUACUUUAUUAUCUAAUUUAAUUUAAUUAAUUAAUUUUUUUUAUUUUUACUUUCUCAGAAUUCUUACGUAAAUAAUUAAUUAAAGAAAUAUAUUUGAAAAUGAUUGUGCGAGACAGCACAUGCCCACCGGGGGCCUUAUCCCAGUUGAGGCUUUGUGUCAUUGCCAUGUCUUUUCAAUUCACAUACAUAUAAUGGAAAACAUUGGUAGCCAAUUAAGGGAUGAACUAUACUACUCUACCAAGUAAAUAUGACUCGUUUGCAUAACUUAUUGAAAAGAAAGAAUGAACGUACAAUUAAACUACGAACAAAUUGGCACAGAAUAUUCUAAGAUUCAUGUUGAAUCACCUCAUUUAAAUUUUGUCAUAUUAGUACACUUCUGAUAGCGGAAAUUUAGAGUUUAAUAUCUUAACUUUGAUUGUGAAGGGUGGAAAAUUAAAUAAUUUUUCUACUAUUUUUUCAACAAUAAUAAAUAACAAUUCAUCAUCAAUUAUUUCUUAUUACGUAUAAAUUCAUCAAUAUAUUCACAUAUUCUUCUAUUUCUAAUCAUUUCAAAAUUUAAUAUAAAUUUUGAGAAAAAAUCAAUUUGCAAUAAAGUGUCAUAAAUAAAAAAAUGAAAAUAGAAAGUCAAAAUUGUAAUGCGGAAAAAAAUUGUAAUGUGGAAAAAAAGAAAACUUUCUAUUUGUUUCAUUCGUGGCAUUUAAAUAUGAGGAUGACAGGUUGAUUGUUAUUGAGAAACUACGUUACAAUUGCAAUAUGUGAACACUAUCAAAAUCAAAGGUAUAAUAAUUCAUGGACCCAUGCAUCUGUAUUUUUAAUUAUUCCGCGUAGAAGGCUAAAGUUUUCCGAUUAAUUCUCAAAUUCAUUGUCAAAAGUGAUUUGAACAUUUCAAUGAACAACACUUAAUUUUCUUUUUGACAGAGCACAACAUUAACUUGAAGAUUCCUGGAAGUUGCUUGCAGUUCAAAUCUUUUUCAUUUGGACAAAAACCAUCAAUAAUUUUCAAACUUAGAAGGUACUUAUUUUUUUCGCCAUAACCCACCCAUCAAAAUUUUUUUUCAUUUAGUGUAACUUUGUAAUUUUCUUAGAUGAUAGCUAGAACUCCCAAUAUCUUCUGAUUAUUGUUUUAAAAAUCUCAGAUGCAUGCCCAAUUAACAAAUCAGUAGUCUCAGUUCGACAAAUUAAAAACCAAAAAAAAAAAAAAAUCACACAGAGACAGUUGUUUGAUGACUUUGUAAUUGAAAAUCAGGAAAUGAAGAGAAAAAGUAACACACUUAUGACCAUCAUUGCAGAGAUAUCAUAGAUGUUAGUAUUAGUGGCAAUUAAUUAAUAAGUAGUCUUACCAAUUAAUGGUGUGUUUACUUCAUGGAAUAUGAAAUGAGAAUGAAACCCAUGUCUACUUGGCAAAAUGUAAUUUGGGAAUGAGAAUAAAAUGUGUGGGUCCCACACAAUUUGGGAAUAAGGAAUGAGAAUUCCAUUCCCAUGGGGGGUUGGGAAUGAAAAUGAGGGAAUGAGAAUGAAAUAUACGUUUACUUUUGUAUUCCUCUAUUUUUUUUCAUAUUUCCCAAAUUACCCUCAUUCAAAUCACAAUUAAUUUUAUUAUUUUAAAUGUCAUUAAUAAUAAUAAUAAUUAUUAUAAUAUUAUUAAUAAUAAUUAUUAUUAUUAAAUUUUAUUAACUUUAUUAUUUUAGUUAUUAUUAUUUUUAUUAUUAUUAUUAAUAUUAUUAUUAUUAUUAUUAUUAUUAUUAUUAUUAUCAUUAUUAUUAAUAUUAUCAUUAUUAACAAUAAAAAUAAUGAUAAAAAUAAUAAUUAAUAAAAAUAAUUAAUUUAUCAUUAUUAACAAUAUUAUCAUUAUUGUUGUUGUUAUUAUUAUUAUUAUAUUAUUAAUAAAAAUAAUAAUAACAAUAAUUAAUAAUAACUAAAAUAAUAAAGUUAAUAAAAUUUAAUAGUAAUAAUAAUGUAAUUUUCAUUAUCUAGAUACAUGUAUAAAUAUUAUUAUAAAAAUGAUAUUAAUUAAAUAAUAAUAAUAAUAAAUGUUAAUAAUGAUAAUAUUAAUAAAAAUAAUAAUAACAACAAUUAAUAAUAAUUAAAAUAAUAAAGUUAAUAAAAUUUAAUAGUAAUAAUAAUGUAAUUUUCAUUAUCUAGAUACAUGUAUAAAUAUUAUUAUAAAAAUGAUAUUAAUUAAAUAAUAAUAAUAAUAAAUGUUAAUAAUGAUAAUAUUAAUAAAAAUAAUAAUAACAAUAAUUAAUAGUAACUAAAAUAAUAAAGUUAAUAAAAUUUAAUAAUAAUAAUAAAUGUUAAUAAUGAUAAUAUUAAUAAAAAUAAUAUUAACAGUAAUUAAUAAUAACUAAAAUAAUAAAGUUAAUAAAAUAUAAUAAUAAUAUUAUUAAUAAUAAUAAAUGUUAAUAAUGAUAAUAUUAAUAAAAAUAAAAAUAACAAUAAUUAAUAAUAACUCAAAUAAUAAAGUUAAUAAAAUUUAAUAAUAAUAACAAAUGUUAAUAAUGAUAAUAUUAAUAAAAAUAAUAAUAACAAUAAUUAAUAACAACUAAAAUGAUAAAGUUAAUAAAAUUUAAUAAUAAUAAUAAUAAUAAAUGUUAAUAAUGAUAAUAUUAAUAAAAAUAAUAUUAACAAUAAUUAAUAAUAACUAAAAUAAUAAAGUUAAUAAAAUUUAAUAUUAUUAUUAUUUUAGUUAUUAUUAAUUAUUGUUAAUAUUAUUUUUAAUAAUAAUAAUAAGAACAACGACAACAAUAAUGAUAAUAUUAUUAAUAAUGAUAAAUUAAUUAUUUUUAUUAAUUAUUAAUACUAUAAUUAUUUUGGUAAAUUGAUUCUCAUUCCCAUUCCUCAUUCCUAUUUAUUUUGCCAAGUAAACACAUCAAUGACAUUUCAGCACAUUCCCAUUCCCAUUUGUUUUUGCCAAGUAAACAUUGAAAUCUCAUUCUCAUUUCUCAUUCCCAUUUCAACCCAUUCUCAUUCUCAGUCCAUUCUCAUUCCACCACAUUCCUAUUCCCAUGAAGUAAACGCACCAUAAUUGUUUUGCACUCGCAUUCAGGAGCUCUGCCCCGCCCUUAUGUAAUUCCUCUGCACAAAAUUAUUUUUCAGAAAAUCUUAGUAGCAUGCCCUACAAAUCAAUCACAUAAUGAUUUGAUGAAAUUCUAAUUGAACAUCAACAAAUGAAGAUGAGAGGGCAACUUCUAAAUCACAUAAUGGUUUAAUACAAAAUCUAUUAAAGAUCUGAAUUUUCAAACAUUCGAAGAACAUUUCUAAGUAAAUGUUCCUAAGACCUCUACAUUAUGUCAUCGUUCUACCAAAUUGCUAAAUUUGAUAACAACCAAUUAUCUAAGGCAACUGUCUAUUUCUCCGUGUGCGCGCGCAUGCAUGUGUGCGCGCGUACGCACGUGUGUGUGUGAGCGUGUGCAUGUAUGUGUGUGGGGUGUGUGUGUGUCUAUAUAUGUUUCAAUAUAAGAUUCUAAAUUUUGUUAAAGUCCAAAAAAGUUAUUAAACCGUAUGACUUAAUAGUGUAAUGCUACUAUACUAUUAAAUAGAACAGUUUAAUAGUUUUUUUGGACUUUAAUGAAGUCUAGAAUCUUAAAUCGAAUCAACUCUCUCUCUCUCUCUCUCUCUCUCUCUCUAUAUAUAUAUAUAUAUAUAUAUAUAUAUAUAUAUAUAUAUAUUAUGUAUAUAUAUAAUGAUGAAAUGGCUGCUUUGUGUUUACUUCGUUUAGAUAUAAAUAUACAAAUAAUUGGUUAUCAUUAAAUAGUUAUUUUAACCUCGAAAUUUCUUGAAGACGAAAUGAAAGCAACUACAUGAGAAAGUUUCCCAACCGUACUUACAUUAUCUGUGUGUGUAUGCUUAAUUUUAGGGGCCGCCUUUACUUCCUACAAGUAAAAUUUGCCAUAUGGGUUUAUUAAUUAAUUUCCAUUUUUAAUGUUACUUAACUACUAGACUUAAAUGUUAAAUUAUUAAGUAAUUAGACACCUUAUAUGUGUCAUGUAAACCCAACAUGUGUCUACAUAUACAUACACAUACCUUGUCCCACCCACCCUCCCUCAAAUUUUAAAUUAAUUUUGAUAUCCUAUAUCAUAUCCAUUGAUAUUAUAAUCAUCUCUAAGUUAAACGUGAUAAUUAUUUUAUAAUUAGAAUAUAAAAAAAAAAUUAAAAGUACAAGUUUGUCCUCCAUGUUUCUCUAAUUUGAAUACUAAGAAUAUAUAAUUUGUAUAUGAAUCAAGUUGUUUGAUCUUGUCUUCUUUUUCAAUUAUUUAAAGUUUAAACACUGGACAUUGAUAUAAUAUUUUUGGCAUUUUUUGGAAGCAGCGGAAUAGCUAGGGCAACCAUCUAAUCUGUUAAUUUGCACUAAUACUUUUUCUGAAUAAAAAAAUUGAAUGUUGAUGUGGGUGCUUAUUUAUCAGUAGCUUCCGCUUCAAUUACUACCUACAAAUAAUUGAGUAUCAUUGAGUUAUUUGACAGCGCUGUAAUUUUUUUAAUCAUAAUUUAAAGUUGGUUUUUGAAGGCUAAUGAUUUGAUUGGGAUUGAUAGAAUAGAAUCACAAAUUCACAAUUCUAAUUUCCUAUACCAACUUUGAUAUUAUAAUCAUUUUUUUCUAAUUUCUUACCAACACAUCUUUCUUUCUUUCUUUCUUCAUUUUUGGGAAGCACCAAUACAUCUUUAGGACAUUGAUUCUUUGAAAAAAAGAAAAAAAAAGGAAAAAUGUGAUUGAUUGUGUUACCACGAACUUUGUCGUAGACGUAAGAGGAGAACGACACAACCUUUACUUACAUUAACGAACGACAAGGCGGCUUCUGUUGAAGAAAUAAAAUGCCUUCGAUUAAUCCAACGAGUUAAAUGUUACUCAAGUCCAAAUUAGCUUAAUACAUACAAAUCCCCACAAUGUUAGUAAAUAUUAUCAAAUCCCUUCCUUCACAACAACCGUUCCCAUAUUGUUAUUUAUUUAUUUAUUUUUUUUAUUUUUUUUAAUGUGAAUUGUGUGUUUGUUUGUUUAUUACAGCCAAGGUGGUGAACAGAAUGUUGGGACUGCUUCAGCUUCAGCUUCUUCGUUACAGUCUAUUCAGAACCGUAAUGCAAUUCUUGUCAGUCAAAGACAGGUGAGGUUGUUUAUUUGUUUAUUUAAUUUGCAUAAAAGAUCUAAUUUUGUUGUUCCCUUGUGUUUCUUGAGCAUAUUCAAAGAAAGGCUAGUUAAAAAUGAAAACUUGAGUUCCAAUCUAGCUUAUUGGCCAUGUGCACAUGAAAUAUUUUUCCCAGGUAGCUUGGAGUUUUUUAGAGUUUGGAGUGAACUGUUGGGAAAAUAUGCUCUUUAAAAGCAUAUGUGUUUAUUUAAUUGUAAUAAACAAUUUUUCUGAUUAAUAAAAUAAAUGAGGUAUUUUAUUUAAAUAUCUUAAUUGCAUUAAUAUUUGUAUUAAAAUCCAUUUAAUCAUAUUAUAUGUAUUUAUGUGAUCACCAUGUGGAUUCACAGAAGACAUAAAUACAAGUUAUCUUAUGAUUAAAUAAAUUUAGUUCGCAGUUGAUAAAUAAAGUUGGGCACUUUAUUUAGGUAUAGACUGUAAUAAAUUCAUUGAAUGAUUUGUCUUAAUCAUGUAUGAAUUUAUUGAUGUAGUACGACUACAUUGAACAGGAUCACAUAUGAGAUUUAAUUAACUUUGUAAUAACUGUCAGACUUAUUAAAUCUCAUAGGCGUUGAUUUUACUGUAAUCUUAAUCUUGAGUUAAUUAUGAUUUCAUGAUUGUAAUUGUUAUUCCAUUUGAGUUACCAAUGGGCACGACACAUCCUUGUGGUCAAGAUUACCCGGUAUCUUGAUGGGAGCAAUUAUGAGUAUUGGAGUUAUGGAUUAACAAUAUAGAAUUUGUACAACACAUCUCUUGAUGGGUUUUCGGCACUUGAUCAUAGAAUUCUCUAGCCAGAGUGUGUCAACAUAUUUAGUAUGUUGAAAAUGAUCAUUAGAGAAAACCAGUAAGGAUCAAGGAAUAAGAUGUUAUUAAAUUGAUUGGACAGUUGAGAUAUCAAUUUAAUUAACGAUGUGGUACAAAGGAUUGUGCAGUAAAGAAAUCAAUGUGGCUUGGGACGAAUUAUUAUUCGAGCAUACAAUUAUGGAAGUCAGUUCCAAUCUUUUAGUGGAGUAGAUUUGGAAUUAAAUAAUUGGGCUAGUUUAAUUACAGGCCUAAUUAUUGUAGCCACUAUUGUAUGUUUCCAAAUGAUCCCCGGGUUAGCUCAUUUAAUUGACUGCACCACUACUGGACUAAUAAGUAAGAUAACUAGCUAUUUGGGUCAAAAGCCUAAAUAUAUCAUUUAGUGGGAGGCUCCAUUUAAUUAGCUUUUGUAUAAGGGGCCUUAUGUUAUUUUACAAGGUGGGUCCCCUAUUGAAAAAGAAAAUAACGUGAGUUUUAUUUAGGGCAUUAUUUGGAGCCUAGAGUUUUCACUACAGGGAGAUAUAUAAGGCUUAUUUUCUCAAAAGAAAAAGAUGAAGUCACUUUAUACAGAUUAGAGAAAAAGAUUUUUCUCUCUAUUGUUGAGAGAAAAAUUUUCUCGUGUUAGUUGCUUUGGUAGUGAUAAAGGCGCCCACACGUCAAGUGCAGAUCGAACCUGAGUCAUAACCUGGAAGAUCAUUGGAGACUGUUCGUGAUCUAACAAGCGUGGUGGUGACAGAUCGUGAUCUAACAGGAGUGGUGGUGGCGGAUCGUGAUCUAGGAGCCUAAAUCACUUCAGCGGAAAAAGCCAACUCGGAUUUUCAAGGUACGAUUUCUAGAAUACAAAUUCUUAUAUAUUAUAUGAGAGCGAUCUUCAAAAGGUUUUAUAAAAAAUUUAAAAACCUGAAUUUUUCCCCAACGUGAACCCCUCUAUUUAUGUAGCUUGUAGAAUUUUUACGACUUUUUUCUAGCGUUGUGUAAAAUCUUGGAAUCUAUGGUGCACUAUCGUUUGCUUUUACAUUUUUUUUCUCGUCAGAAUGUAAGCUUCUUAGGAGUUAUGUUUGUGUUCCAGUGAACUUUCUAGUUAGUAGUGGUUCGGAUUGAAUAAAUUUUGAUUUGCAAAAAAUUAGCUCAAGUGCGAAAGUUCUUUUCUCCUUAUGCAGAAGGGAAAUCCGUUGCUUAAGCAUAUAACAUAUGUGAGAUGGGCUUUUGCGGAUGUUGUUUGUGACUACUUGCUUGGGCAGAACUCAUGUGCUCUUUAUCUAAGGCUUGAACUUCUAAACAAUGUCUUACUUGUCAUUCUGUGUAAACAUGAUGAAAAUGUUUUUGUGCUACAUAUUUGACAUCCAAUAGUUAAACCGCUGAUAAAGAUAACCUGCCUUGUAGUCGGCCUGUUUCCGCUGGUAUUAUGAAUCGGCAAAGUUUUUAGGUAUUGGUUAAUUGUUGAAGUAAAAUAAUUGACAAUCCGUCCAAAUUGAUGGUUUUGCUAAGCGAAAUCCAGUUUUGAUCGUACUUGUAUGCUUAAAAAGAUUGAUAUUUAGUCUUGCUUGCACAGCUGCACUUCAGUUUAUAAUACUUUCUAUCGUGUGAUAUAUAUCUUUUUAUGCUGCAUUAUCGUUGUUCAUUGGAAUUAAUACGUAAAGGAUGGUAUCUCUGCUGUGGCAUAACUCAUCUAGCAAUUUAUGCAUAAAAUAAUCUGUUCGGCUUGUGUUAAACAUCUUGUUGAUAUCUGUGUCAAUUGCAAUUGAAAUAUGCUCUUAUGCACCAAAAUUCAUCAAAUUAAUUGCUUGUUACAGUCUUCGGUAUCAUCUGCUGCAUUAUAUCUAAGAUAUUGUUUGUCCAAUUAGGACUUCAACACUGCUGUCACUGUUUGAUACUGUUUACUUCUUUGCUAUGAUGGCAAUGUAGUUAGAUUGUGUAUAUACUUUCUAAAUCUUCUGUUUGACAAUGUGCUAUUGUGGGUUUUUAGCACUUUUGGGACUUCUUCUUGUUUAGAAAGUUGGAGUAAUUUUUCUCAAGUGACUUGAUAAUGAUAAAAAUUAAGAAACAUGUUUAUUGGGGUUGGACUGGCCUAAAUAUGCUUUUUCUUAGACUAAAAUUUCAAAAUUGUUUGUUUCUAGCUAGGAGGAAUGUGGUCGCUACCUUGAGACUAUAAAAGUCUAUGAGAACAAGCCAGCAGACCUUACCCAAGGCCAAAUGGAUACCGACUAUUUAUCACGGGUAUCGUAACUUUUGAGGUUUCUCACACUCAAUAAAUUUAUGUUAACAUUGGCAAAGAUCAGAUCUUCAAGAACAAAUAGCUAGCGCAUUACUAAUUCCUAGCUUUUUGUAGUGAUUAAUCUUACACUCUGCUUCUUUUGAUGUAGCUAACCCAUGCUCUCACAUCUGUUCGGAGUGUUAAUAAGACUGAUGUUGUCAACCUAGGGUCUACAUUUGGGGUAUGCUUCCUUGCUUUAUUCAUAAGUCCAUGUGCUUGGGGGUUGUAUUGAAAGUAUAUGUUCCUAUGGGCCUAAUUGACAUGUGAUUGGCAGUCUCUUUCGCAUAUCAUGGAUGCAUCAAUGGAAGGAAGACCUGUCUCAUUGCCCUGGCAUAGGAGAGCGCAAGGUAUUCUGUUCAUCUCCAAAGAGAGACGUGUCAUUUGAUGGAAUUUUGUCCUUCUAUUGUGUGAUGCACUUCUGUAUGCUAUCAUUGGAGUGAUUGCUAAUAAAUUUAUGGCAAUUCUUGGGGUGCUAAAUAAAGGGUUCCAUAUUGUUAAACCUACUUUUUCAUUAUGUUCCGAGAU